RNAcentral lists this ribosomal RNA (301 nucleotides) under uncultured bacterium. RNAcentral's name for it is "partial 16S ribosomal RNA". It matches the Rfam family "Bacterial small subunit ribosomal RNA", at positions 509 to 807 of the family's 1533-position model. The record is from RNAcentral.
CAGUCGCCGCGGUAAUACAGAGGGUGCAAGCGUUAAUCGGAUUUACUGGGCGUAAAGGGCGCGUAGGUGGUUAUGUAAGUGAGAUGUGAAAUCCCCGGGCUCAACCGGGGAACUGCAUCUUAUACUGCGUAGCUGGAGUGCAGUAGAGGGUAGUGGAAUUUCCGGUGUAGCGGUGAAAUGCGUAGAGAUCGGAAGGAACGUCAAUGGCGAAGGCAGCCGCCUGGCUUAAUACCGACGCUGAGGCGCGAAAGCGUGGGGAGCGAACAGGAUUAGAUACCCCUGUAGUCCCUGUCUCUUAUAC